GAUACAUAGGGUCAGUCAAAUACAUUAUUAAAAUCAAUUCUAUUUCUUUCUUACUUUUUAAUCUGUCUACUAGGAAAUUUAAAAUAGAGCUUGCAAUAUUUUUCUGUGAGGGCUUAUGAAUUUGGAUUCUAUCUUUAUGCUCCGUCCCGCCAGCCUACCAGAAAUUCAGUUAAUUGCUCAGCAGUCAUAACUGCCUAACAGAUUCUGGAUUUUAAAAUGAGCUGGAGCAGAAGAAGGCUGCAUGGGUAUCACAGAUAUAGAUUUUUUUGAGGCUUUAUUUAGUAUGCACAUCUGAUCGAUUUUCUUAGUUAUAAAUAUAAAAUUAAACAUGAGGAGAGCAUUUAGAAAACUAUUCAUGUUUCUCUAUUAUAGCGUCUUAGUCUUUAAAAAUGACCACGGAGCAACUGGACACACAUUGCAGAUGGAUUAAACAAAUAACAUUGCUCAGUUCCUGGCAUAAUGAAGACAAUCAACAAAUUACUGUUGAAGCACCAUCAAAUAGCAUGAGAAGUGUGCUCCUUCAGAACUGCCCAUGGACCUCAGGGACCCUUCCCUUGUUAUCACUGGAAAAUGACAGAAAAAGAAUGGGGAGUGAAAAUAUACCUUCAAUACAUCAUUCAGCAGUACACAUAGAAGAUAUAAGACAUCUGGAGAACGGACGUCAGCGAGCCAGGAUGGUAGAACAAAUUCAAAUCCAUGCCACGGGAAAACGAACAUUUGCGAUCUCAAGACGGGUAGUCAGAAAACUGAAAAAUAACUUCAAACUUUGGGAAACAGCCUAGACUGCACCACAUGGCCUCAGAGGGUUGGGAGAGGCCGGCAAGUGGAGAUUUGAUGAGACAGCCUUUCUUUUAUUGGAAGACAGAAUGCCCUAAUAGACUUGUUUUAUACACAGAAAGAACUGCCUGGGGAAGCAAUCAAUCAGCUUCCUGCUCCAACUAGAGUCCAAACCUUUCCAAAUGAGACAUCCAGUGAUAUACAGACCAGAAAAAUGGCCUGGCUUUCUUAAGGUCUCAAAGCUGGUGCACAGCAGAGCAAAAAGGAAUACGGAGGGACCCACAGUGAAAAGCUAUUCAUUUCUGUCUUGUUUUCUCUCCAGCAGCUCCCUCCACACCCACGGCAACCCUGCCCUCUCCUGGAGACUAGAUCAGGCCACGGGACAGACCGUUAUCCAAAAGAGCACUGGCUGGACAAAUAGGGGGCUGUUGAUUCAAAGCAUCAAAGAAAGAGUAAAAUAAAAGCAUCUGGAGCUACCUAAAUUAAAAGAUAGAAAUAUUAAAACACAUGAAGACCAGGGACAAUAACAAGGCACAGCACCGCCAGAAUUGCUCUUCUAGUCACUGUCGCUUCCUGAGCAAAGUUACCAGAACUUACCAGGAGUUCUCACUGUUGUUCUAAGAAUAUUUCCAAGAAGAGUGAGACCCCUUCAAAAAUAUGUGCGUUCCAAAUAUAAAUGCAUAAAUGCCUGUGCUUUUCUCUGAGAAUACACCACUGAAUGGCUGUUCCACGCCUGUACCUUGUUGCCCAACCUGAAAGUAAUGACUCAGAUACAGCAGACAUUUUAUAUGUUAGUUACACCGUUAUGUUAAAAUUGCACUACAGGAAUUUCAAAUUUGUGUAUCAGAAACUACACUAUGAAGCUGUAGAGUGGCUCCGAUGUGGUUUUACUUUUCAUCUGAGGAAUCUGUUGUUACAAACAUAAAAGAAGUAUCGCAGAGCCAAGUGACUUCACAGUGAAAGGUGCUUGUUUGCUCACCUUUUGCUAUUUCUCAUUUUCACCGAUUCCGCGUUAAUCAUAGCUGUGCUGUUCAGAAAACUCCUUUGGGUAAACAAGGAUAAAGUCACAGAAUAAAAGAAUAAAAAUAUCAAAUACUCUUUACUUCUGUCUCUCAGAUAAUACUGCCAUACAGAGAUUCAUCGUUGGGGGCUUUACACCCUCCAGGAGAAGGCAAAAUCGACCACACUGCUGGUGAUGAGGGCCACUGCCAUGUUAAAACCACAUCUAGGAACAUUUGGCUGAAGAGCCCAUUUCCUUGAUGUGGGUCAGAGGUUAGUGCCUUGAUCUGAGUCUCACUGCUCUUCCCUUUAAAUUGAGAUAGCAAGAGGGC
Molecule: long non-coding RNA, 2108 nt
Organism: Chinchilla lanigera (long-tailed chinchilla)
Lineage: Eukaryota; Metazoa; Chordata; Mammalia; Rodentia; Chinchillidae
Source: Ensembl